This 450-nucleotide ribosomal RNA is filed under the name uncultured bacterium. Its description in RNAcentral is "bacterial SSU rRNA". It matches the Rfam family "Bacterial small subunit ribosomal RNA", at positions 328 to 795 of the family's 1533-position model. The record is from RNAcentral.
CGCCCAGACUCCUACGGGAGGCAGCAGUGGGGGAUAUUGCACAAUGGGGGGAACCCUGAUGCAGCGACGCCGCGUGGGUGAAGGAGCGUUUCGGCGCGUAAAGCCCUAUCGGCAGGGAAGAAGAUGACGGUACCUGACCAAGAAGCCCCGGCUAACUACGUGCCAGCAGCCGCGGGAAUACGUAGGGGGCAAGCGUUAUCCGGAUUUACUGGGUGUAAAGGGAGCGUAGACGGCAGCACAAGUCUGGAGUGAAAUCCCGGGGCUUAACCCCGGAACUGCUUUGGAAACUGUGCGGCUGGAGUGCAGGAGGGGUAAGCGGAAUUCCUAGUGUAGCGGUGAAAUGCGUAGAUAUUAGGAGGAACACCGGUGGCGAAGGCGGCGUACUGGACUGUAACUGACGUUGAGGCUCGAAAGCGUGGGGAGCAAACAGGAUUAGAUACCCUAGUAACU